CCUACGGGCGGCUGCAGUGAGGAAUAUUGGUCAAUGGGCGCGAGCCUGAACCAGCCAAGUAGCGUGAAGGAUGACUGCCCUACGGGUUGUAAACUUCUGUUAUAAAGGAAUAAAGUGAGGCAAGUGUGCCUUUUUGUAUGUAUGUUAUGAAUAAGGAUCGGCUAACUCCGUGCCAGCAGCCGCGGUAAUACGGAGGAUCCGAGCGUUAUCCGGAUUUAUUGGGUUUAAAGGGAGCGUAGAUGGGUUGUUAAGUCAGUUGUGAAAGUUUGCGGCUCAACCGUAAAAUUGCAAUUGAUACUGGCAGCCUUGAGUACAGUUGAGGUAGGCUGAAUUCGUGGUGUAGCGGUCAACUGCUUCGAUCUCAC
RNAcentral lists this ribosomal RNA (365 nucleotides) under uncultured bacterium. RNAcentral describes it as "partial 16S ribosomal RNA". It matches the Rfam family "Bacterial small subunit ribosomal RNA", at positions 338 to 700 of the family's 1533-position model. The record is from RNAcentral.